CUACGGGGCGCUGCAGUGGGGAAUAUUGCACAAUGGGCGCAAGCCUGAUGCAGCCAUGCCGCGUGUAUGAAGAAGGCCUUCGGGUUGUAAAGUACUUUCAGCGGGGAGGAAGGGAGUAAAGUUAAUACCUUUGCUCAUUGACGUUACCCGCAGAAGAAGCACCGGCAAACGUCCGUGCCAGCAGCCGCGGUAAUACGGAGGGUGCAAGCGUUAAUCGGAAUUACUGGGCGUAAAGCGCACGCAGGCGGUUUGUUAAGUCAGAUGUGAAAUCCCCGGGCUCAACCUGGGAACUGCAUCUGAUACUGGCAAGCUUGAGUCUCGUAGAGGGGGGUAGAAUUCCAGGUGUAGCGGUGAAAUGCGUAGAGAUCUGGAGGAAUACCGGUGGCGAAGGCGGCCCCCUGGACGAAGACUGACGCUCAGGUGCGAAAGCGUGGGGAGCAAACAGGAUUAGAUACCCUCGUAGUC
RNAcentral lists this ribosomal RNA (465 nucleotides) under uncultured bacterium. RNAcentral's name for it is "partial 16S ribosomal RNA". It matches the Rfam family "Bacterial small subunit ribosomal RNA", at positions 339 to 795 of the family's 1533-position model. The record is from RNAcentral.